This 512-nucleotide ribosomal RNA is filed under the name uncultured bacterium. Its description in RNAcentral is "partial 16S ribosomal RNA". It matches the Rfam family "Bacterial small subunit ribosomal RNA", at positions 28 to 523 of the family's 1533-position model. The record is from RNAcentral.
GACGAACGCUGGCGGCGUGCCUAAUACAUGCAAGUCGAGCGGAACUGGGGGAGCUUGCUCCUUCCAGUUUAGCGGCGGACGGGUGAGUAACACGUGGGCAACCUGCCCUGCAGAUCGGGAUAACUCCGGGAAACCGGUGCUAAUACCGAAUAGUUUGGCGCCUCUCCUGAGGCGCUACGGAAAGACGGUUUCGGCUGUCACUGCAGGAUGGGCCCGCGGCGCAUUAGCUAGUUGGUGGGGUAACGGCCCACCAAGGCGGCGAUGCGUAGCCGGCCUGAGAGGGUGACCGGCCACACUGGGACUGAGACACGGCCCAGACUCCUACGGGAGGCAGCAGUAGGGAAUCUUCCGCAGUGGACGCAAGUCUGACGGAGCAACGCCGCGUGAGUGACGAAGGUUUUCGGAUCGUAAAACUCUGUUGUGAGGGAAGAACACGUACCAACUAACUAUUGGUACCUUGACGGUACCUCACCAGAAAGCCACGGCUAACUACGUGCCAGCCGCCGCUGUAA